This is a non-coding RNA of Podarcis lilfordi (Lilford's wall lizard), 908 nucleotides long. The record is from the annotation of a GenBank genome assembly. Lineage: Eukaryota; Metazoa; Chordata; Lepidosauria; Squamata; Lacertidae.
AAUGAUGCUUAUAUAGUGCUCUCUGAGAAAGCAAUCCUAACCCCCUGGUUAGGAUAUGGCAGAGGGGCCUGUCUGCCUAUCUCUGUGAGCCUCUGCUGCUCCCAUGAAUAGGAGCCUUUUCUGCUCCACCAAAAAGCACUACUGAUGAUGUUCCUGGCUGGAGCAAGCAGACAGGGCAUGGAUGGGUGGGUAGGUCUAUCAUUCCAUCCCCACCACCACCACUUAAGAUUGCUCUGCCAAUGCUCCAGUUAUUUCACUUGCCCCCCCAGUUUGUCAAAUGGAAUUAUCCCCCAUCACCCCAUGCACUGUUCUGGGAGUUCUCCUGACUCCCACACAGCCCAUUGGGGGCGGGCAGGGUCCAUGGGGGGAGGAGAAGGGGGAAUGCCCUGUUACGUAAGUGGGAGCCAUUGCACAGCACUUCUGCUGAUGGAGUCCCUAAGAUAGAUCCGGCCCAGAGUCUAAAAUCACCUAAAUGCAUCACUGCUCCUUUCGUAUUGAAAUGACACCUUGAAAGUAGACUAUAUGUUAUUAAUGAACAUUUGCUUCCUCCACCACCACCCUAACCUCUGUAAUAGCAAAAUGUCUUUUUUUAGAACAUCUUCAUAUCAUGAUACAGUAUGGAAGCCUUAGGCUAGAAAACGAUGCUUUGAAUUUCUCUCUACAAAGCCUUAGUGAAGCACAAUUACAAGAAAUCUAUUAAAAUAAUUUUGAGAUCCUGGCAGGGUUUUUUCCACACAUUAACAAAUCUUUUGCCCCUUUCUCUUCUGAUGUCUAGCCAGGAGCACCACUGGCAGACAAGCCUUGCCUAGGUGGAUUCUGAUUGUUAACAAGAGUGGGAGCAACUACAGAGAGCUAGAGGGAGAGAUGAAGUGGGUUGAUGAAAGGCCGGUUUCCCAACAGAUACCACC